RNAcentral lists this ribosomal RNA (933 nucleotides) under uncultured Methanolobus sp. RNAcentral's name for it is "bacterial SSU rRNA". It matches the Rfam family "Archaeal small subunit ribosomal RNA", at positions 1 to 926 of the family's 1478-position model. Lineage: Archaea; Methanobacteriati; Methanobacteriota; Methanomicrobia; Methanosarcinales; Methanosarcinaceae. The record is from RNAcentral.
UUUUUCUCGCGGCGGGGUGUUUAGACUGCCGAAGGCUACCGCUAAUGAGAGUCGAAUAAGCCCAUGCGAGUCUAAGGGAUCUUCGGAUCCUGGCGUAUGCUCAGUAACACGUGGAUAAUCUACCCUCAGGUGGGGCAUAAACCCGGGAAACUGGGGCCAAUUCCCCAUAAAUACAGAUGGCUGGAAUGCUUCUGUAUUCAAAGCUCCGGCGCCUGAGGAUGAGUCUGCGGCCUAUCAGGUUGUAGUCAGGGUCAAGACCUGACUAGCCAGCGACGGGUAUGGGGUGUGAGAGCACUUGCCCAGAGAUGGUUUCUGAGACACGAAACCAGGCCCUACGGGGCGCAGCAGGCGCGAAAACUUCGCAAUGCGGGAAACCGUGACGAGGGAACUCCGAGUGUCUAUGCAUUGCAUAGACUGUUUUUUAGCCUAAAUAGCUAUUAGAGUAAGGGGUGGGCAAGACCGGUGCCAGCCGCCGCGGUAACACCGGCACCCCGAGUGGUAGCCACUAUUAUUGGGCCUAAAGCGUUCGUAGCCGGUUUGGUAAAUUCUUGGGUAAAUCGUACCGCUCAACGGUGCGGAUUCCGGGGACACUACCAGACUUGAGACCGGGGGAGAUCAGAGGUACUUGCGGGGGAGCGGUGAAAUGUUGUAAUCCCGCAGGGACCACCAGUGGCGAAGGCGUCUGAUCAGAACGGCUCUGACGGUGAGGAACGAAACCCUGGGGCGCAAACGGGAUUAGAUACCCCGGUAGUCCAGGGCGUAAACGCUGCUGACUUGGUGUUGGGGAUCCUACGAGGAUGUCCAGUGCUGGCGCGAAGGUAUUAAGUCAGCCGCCUGGGGAGUACGGUCGCAAGACUGAAACUAAAGAAUGGCGGGGAGCACUGCAACGGGCGGAGCGUGCGGGUUUAAAUUGGAUCCAACCGCCCGAGGAAU